UUUCUUCAUCCUGCAUCGAUCCAAAGACGAUCAGAGUAGAGUUUCCCGGCGUGACCACCAUUAGAAGAGCUCUGAUACCAUAUUAGAAUUGGAGGAGAUGAUCGAUAGAGAGAGAGACGAAGGAAGAAGAAGAAGAGUUCUGGAAAAGCUCAAAAUUUCAUUUCAUCCUCAUCCCCUGUUUUAUCCUUACAGUGUUUUUACCGUUUUACUGUACAUAACAGUUUCAACGGUAACAAACGAAAAUCGCCACGUGUUUUACUUAUUAUAUAAACGUUAAAACAAAACGACACAGUCUCAUAACAUAACAUUUCCAAUUUACACUCUUGAUCACUGAACUUUCACUCCAUUACAAAUUGGUCACUCUGUGCAUCUUCCUCCAACGAUAAUAAAUCUUCUUCAUUUCCUUCUCUGGACGAUGCACAGCUCACGUCCUUCUUCUCCUCUUCUGAUAGACAUUAACUUGUUCAUACCAGUCAAAUGUGCAUGGAUGACACAUUCAUAACUUUGUUCGAGAAGUCAUAUAACUUGUUCCCGGUUCAUACCUCAAUAUAACGUUCUUGAUUAAUUUAUGACAAAAAAUAGAUAUCAUGCUUAUCAAAUCAAAACGUCAGUAUCUUAAGAACAAACUAGUAAUAGCAUAGAUAAAAAGCUUAUCAUUGUGAAAAACUAUCAUAUCUAACUACCUAUAUAGGAUAUUGAAAAGCGUUGAUAUGCAUCGCGUGUAUCAACAUGUGCAUGCCAUUAUGAAACUUCUCGAGAUCUUGUUUACUAGCUGUCACGUCCGUAACUUUAUUCUGGAAGGCAUCGACAAGUUGUUCCUAGAUCAUACCAAUAUCACGUUCUUCAUUAGUUCAUGAAAAAAAAAACAAAUUGAUCUUAAUUUACAUUAGAAACCUAACCAAUAUCAUUCACUUACAAUUUUCUCUUAUAUAUCACUCACAUAAUUGUAUAAAAUGACCAUUAUCCAAACCUAAUAUUAAGUUAGAAAAUCCUAUAUUAUUUUCAAGAUCUAAUUAAUAAUGCAGGUUAAGCAUAAAAUAGUCUUAUAUUACUUUUAGGGAUCUUACAUCAUACUAACCAUCGAUUUUUACUAUAUUCAUUCUCCGAUGGCAGUUGAAGCAAAGGCUUUACAAGUAACGAUCGAGUAUGCUUCUCAACAUGACAGUGACUCUGUCACCUACUCAGAUUUCCAAGCCAUAAGAUCGUUUCAUACCACGAAAAAGAAACAGUCGUGUUGAUUGAGUGGCUAAAGAAUUCAUUCACAAUCUCAUCGUCCCUGACUGGAUCCAUAGGACUAACUCUAUUCAUUCCCAAUUGUAACGUUGUUGCCAUGUUCAGUGGCGGAGGCAGAUGGGACCAAGUGGGGUCAUGGACACCCACUUGGAUUUGAGAAUUUGAUCAAAACACACUACUAUAUAGAAGUUAGCAGCCAAACUCAAACACCUGACCUCCCAUAAAUCCACCGACAAGCUUAGCACCAUACUAAACAACACUUCUUGAUAAUAUGUAACAUUCAGUGUUAUUUAAACGUAAAUAAAUGUGUUGACUUCAUACCUGAGUUAGGUAUCAGUCCCACCUACCGAUCAUUAGUACAACGACCUGUCAUAUCACCCAGAUGGCCUGAUCAGAUGUUUCGGUACCAAUGCAGUUAGUCUCAUGCAUUCUGGACUGGAUAUGGCCCACCUAUCUUUCGAGGUCACUAGUUUACACUUUCACCAACCUUUCUCAUAUCCGUUUUUAUGAGCAAGGGAUAAAGGCCAUACAGUAAUCAAGCUAAUGACAAUUGGAUAGUACCCCUUCCAUCGGAGGAUAUACUGGGUGGAGAGUGACAAAUAUGAGAAAAGCCUACUUACUAGCCUUCGUGAUAGGAUACCACUUAGGCGGAUGCUAGGGAUUGGUGAGUUAGGGCAGCGAGGGAUGGUAGGCAGUAUUGGUAAUAUCGUAUAGAAAUAGAAGAUCCACGCCUUUCGACUCCCAUGUCUUUCUUGGUUUCAACCCAAGCGGUCAUUUCCUUCUUCCUGAAUUGGGAGAGCAAUAAACAUAUCUUUCUUGGUUUCAACCCAAGUCAUUUCCUUCUUCCUGAAUUGGGAGAGCAAUAAUCUGUCUCCCUUUUUUCGGGGGGAGCAGAGCAGUCAAAGAAGGAAGGAAAGCAAAUGCAUUAUUGGUUAAAUAAGUGGAAUUCCGCCCAUGACUUAAUAUAUGGCGAUUUUCGGGUUAACGAAUGGUUAUUCCUCACAAUUGCUCCUUGUGAUGCAGCGGAACCAUGGCAAUUAGGAUCUCAAGACGCAGCAACACCUAUGAUGCAAGGAAUAAUGGACUUACAUCACGAUAUCUUUUUCUUCCUCAUUCUUAUUUUGGUUUUUGUAUUACAGAUCUUGGUUCGCGCUUUAUGGCAUUUCCACUAUAAAAAAAAUCCAAUCCCGCAAAGGAUUGUUCAUGGAACUACUAUCAAGAUUCUUCGGACCAUAUUUCUGAGUAUCAUCCCUAUGUUCAUUGCUAUACCAUCAUUUGCUCUCUUAUACUCUGAACCCAGGUUCUAGAACAACCCAGUUCGUCAUUCAUUAGUUCCUCUUCUUGAAAUCGAU
This 2585-nucleotide long non-coding RNA is filed under the name Linum usitatissimum (flax). Its description in RNAcentral is "long non-coding RNA (LUSI_LNC006842)". The record is from RNAcentral. Lineage: Eukaryota; Viridiplantae; Streptophyta; Magnoliopsida; Malpighiales; Linaceae.